AUUAUAUGUCCACAUCUGUUUGGAAGGUUUUUUUUAUCGAUUUCUUUGAGGAAUCUUUUUAGCAGUGAAUCAUCAUAAGAGAUAAGCCUUGUCUUCAUUAGUUUUGAAAGUUUUUGACUGAGGAAAUUGAUUCAAAUUAAUUUUGCUGUAGAACUUGUUUUUUGCUUUAAUCAUUUGCUACUGAUAUUGCCAAGAAAUUUUUCCCAUGGGGCUUCAUCUUGUGGAGAAGGCCAAAUUUGAGUUGGGAUGAUACCAUUGACUUCAGAAAAUUCUUCUUUCAAAAUCUUGAUAUUCUUGGAGAUAUGCUACUAUGAGUUUUUGCAAGUUAUAUGAGAGAUGAGCAUAUCUUUGAAUAUCUGCCUGAAAUGUCACCGAUUACUGAUGAGGGAAAACCUGAACUUUUCUAGUGAAGAACAAGAUUGAAAACUGUGAACCUAGGGUCCUCUGGAGUGACAUAUGUUCAAUAGGGGUCUGGGGAAGCUCGACAGCGCAAUAUGGGUUCCAAGGAAUAUCUAGGAGAACCAGACUAGAAGGUGAAGGUAAAUAAGUUAUCACCAAGGGUGUCCGUCUUCAUUCAACGAUGUUGCCAGGUCUUUUUUGGCUUAUCUUUUUGUCGCUGACUAAUUUUAACUUAACCUAUUAUGAAAAUCUAGUAUUGUCCUAUAACAAGUUUUGAAUAUGCAGAAUCCCAAAUUUAGGCAAGGAUAGAACAUAUAUAAAAAAACCAUUUUUAAUAUGCAGAAUCCCAAAUUUAGGCAAGCAUAAAACAUAUAUAAAGAAACCUUAAAUUCAUUUUUCACGAUUAAAACCACGGGUUAAAUCUGUAUAAUGAGAGAAAACCACGUGAAUUCAUUGUUCUUUUGACACUUAUGAACUAUCCCAUAUCGGCCAAUAUUUGGCCAAAUUUUGAUAAACCUUGGUGGAAUAUGCUUAAUUCUGCAAGCAUGCAUUAGACAGUUUGGAAUCUGAUUUUGAAGGGGGAAAAUACUCAAUUGAUGUCCAAAAAGUGUCUGUUUCAGACCCCUAUCUCUGAAAAUGCCAAGAUUGUAAGGUAAGGUGUGAGUAUUCUAGUGAUGCUGGCAAAUCAGCAAAUCAGCUGCCAGUGCCUCUCAAUAUUUGCACCAUAAUAAUGGAAAUGAUUAGAUAGAUGUUGGCUUCCCUCAUCUCCAUUACAGUGAAGUAGAUAACUGUGUAGUUCUCUUUCAUUUGUUAAAAGCUAUCAAGUUUGGCAAUUCAUCUGAAGGUUUCAAGUUGACGGUUUGUUGAUUUAAAAGAAUAGCCAAUAUAGAAGACAUCUACGAACUUUUUGGAGUAAUUGGAUUAAUUGGUUGGCUUUCGUCCUCCUGCUAGUAUAAAUUGCAGAUCAAGGCAGUUCAUUCAUCUUAACGCUGAAAUAUGUUUAGUGGAUAGGACUUCAUCCUUAUAGGCAGCAAGUGGCUCUGGUUUUAGUGGCAUCUUCAUACUGUGCCUGCGGGUUUCGUUGAAUGGAGAAUACAAUUUCUUUUUCUUUU
Long non-coding RNA from Mangifera indica (mango), 1511 nucleotides. RefSeq lists it as uncharacterized. NCBI's taxonomy places the organism in Eukaryota, Viridiplantae, Streptophyta, Magnoliopsida, Sapindales, Anacardiaceae. The record is from RefSeq and is a predicted model, not a curated record. The transcript has 3 exons.